UGAUAGUCCACAAUGGGUGAACCACAGCA
This 29-nucleotide non-coding RNA is filed under the name Homo sapiens (human). Lineage: Eukaryota; Metazoa; Chordata; Mammalia; Primates; Hominidae. The record is from RNAcentral.